CUUAGUACCAAAGAAAUUGCUAUCGGAGAACUGGGCUAAAUAUGAACCCCAAAAUGUGGCAGGGCAGAUGACUGCGCAUUUCCAAAUGGGCCACAAGUCCAGACCCAAUCCGGUGCUCGAAAUGAGAUGUUUCUAGGGAGAAAUAAAAACUGAGGGGUAUGGGACUCAAGAUCGAGCCCAAACAGGGUAGUGGAAAUAUUUGAAGCCUAACAAAGACUGGUUGAGCCCAUUUAACUAUUAUCAACAUGCAACAAUAUGAUAUACAAGCCCUGAAUACCACAACAUCCAAAUAACUGUGUCAUACAUCUAAAGAAACAUGGUUUGACUAUCCAUGCUAGCAAUACACAUAUGGGACUUAAAUUAAUCACUAGUUAUUAUGAAUUCACGGAUAGAACUUAUCUUGAAAGUAUGGAAAUCCUACACAGUUUGGAAGUAUCUAGCAAUUGUCAAACAAACAACUUCUUGCUCAAAUUAUGACUCUUAAAAAACAUAGAUGCUCAAAACCAGACCCUACAAGGAAAUAAACCAAACGAAUGUAUAAUAUAACCCACCAUAAACUGAAAAUCAGUAUUAACUUAAACAUAUUUAAACCAAACUAAAGAUGAUGUUCAUUAUCUGACUUAGAUCCCUACUGCAGAUAGUUUGAGCAUUCUAUAUAUUCAGCAAGAAGAUUUUAAUCAACUCACAACCCAACAUAAUAAACUAAGAUCAUAAUCCAGGACUUACAAAUGUGAUACACUAUCAGCAACAUGAAUGAGCAAACAAAAGGCAUAUAAGAGAGCUAAAUUAUUACAGAAAAAUAAAUAAACUUAAAGAAGAUGGGGAUAAAAUUCAACAUGCAGCAUGUAUCAUUACAUUUCCACAUUUGGAUUGCAUUCUUCAAACUUGUAACUCUAUGCUAUUUAAGGUCCAAGAGAUACCUGGAUACCGAAGCAAAAGCAAAGUGAGGAUGUCAACCAAAAUAUGAGCAAAACAGCAAGAAUAAAGCAACCACAACUUUUCCAAAAUUAAACAAUGCUUCAACUCUUUUGGAGUUCAAACAUUUCAGAGAAUUUCUUCUAGUUUUCUUGUGACAAAUCAGAAAAGUCUUAGUGCAGAACUUUUAUGCAUAGAAUGAGCCUUUAAAAUCUGUAUUUUUAGAAGAAAAUGCUUCAGCCAUUUUGCUACUUCUUUUAUGCUCUCACCUCUGCCCUAUAGAAUGAUCAAAAGAUGAUCUUAUAGGCAGACCUUAGAGCAGCAUUAUCCAACUUUCCUCUUGUCUCAAUUAUCCCUUUUACCCCAUCUUUUUCUUAGUUAUUUUACCCCUUCACCCCUAAAAAAUAUUUAAGCCCUCUGUUACCUCUUAUAACAUGCAAGCCUAACCUUAUCAUCUAGAAGCUUCUCCUAUAACAAAAAACAUUCUCUAGCCCUCAAAUACCCAAAAAACCCCUUGACAUCCCUGUAUUUAUAUUCUCAAUACUGACCCAAGACCUAAACCAAAGCCACGGGCUCGUCCUGCCCAAACAGGAAUGAACCAACAGCCCAAAAGAGACCUAGGAUCAAAAUCUAAUGGACUUCAAAAGUAAAACCUUAAGACUAGCUAAUUUUAAUAAACAAACAAGAUUGAAUUAAUUGAUCCGAGUUGUAAUUGACGAUGAACUAGAAUAUGCUAAAAUAUUAUAACAAUUAACUAAUUUAAACAAAAAACGAAAGCAACAUGCCUGUUAAAUGUUCUAACCUAUCAUUCAAGCAGAAUUAAUCGAGCAGGAAAGAAAUAAAGACAAGGAAUGAACAGAGAUGACGAGGACAAAAUAAAAACAAAUAUGAACAACUGACCAAAAGCCGGAGAGCAUAGAUGACCAAAGGAAGUAGAGAUGGAGGAUAUGUCCAGGCUCGAGAUGCUUCGACAAAGCUUGAAACUGACCCUAAUGACCACUCUAGUCAAGAAUGGUCUAUCAGGGCAAGCCCUGAGCCACGAUGAGCAGAAAAUUUCAACAAAAUCUCAAUUCCAAAAUUAGGUCAAAUUCUAGAUCCCUAAUUUGACGAAUUCCAAAGGUUGUUUGGGAAAAUUUCCAAGGGUUUUGAGUUUUGGGAGGCUUGGUGUUCAUAGGAUAUUAGUUUGAGGUUGAUCGGAGUUGCUCCGUGCCCGGUGAGUUGAGAGGAUCCUGAGGUGGCUAAGGUUAGGACUCUCACAAGUUGAGAGAUGAAAUGAGGGGGAAUAGAAAUUGGGGGUUGGGAGUUCUAAUUCGGACAUAUGUAUAAUACCU
This 2246-nucleotide long non-coding RNA is filed under the name Nicotiana benthamiana. RNAcentral's name for it is "long non-coding RNA (NBEN_LNC040837)". The record is from RNAcentral. Lineage: Eukaryota; Viridiplantae; Streptophyta; Magnoliopsida; Solanales; Solanaceae.